CAGCCGCCGCGGGAAUACGAAGGUCCCGAGCGUUGUUCGGAAUCACUGGGCGUAAAGGGAGCGUAGGCGGCGUGGUAAGUCAGAUGUGAAAUCCCGGGGCUCAACCCCGGAACUGCAUCCGAUACUGCCGUGCUAGAGGAUUGGAGAGGUAGCUGGAAUUCUUGGUGUAGCAGUGAAAUGCGUGGAGAUCAAGAGGAACACUCGUGGCGAAAGCGAGCUACUGGACAAUAUCUGACGCUGAGGCUCGAAGGCCAGGGUAGCGAAAGGGAUUAGAUACCCCAGUAGUCCCUGUCUCUUAUAU
RNAcentral lists this ribosomal RNA (301 nucleotides) under uncultured bacterium. Its description in RNAcentral is "partial 16S ribosomal RNA". It matches the Rfam family "Bacterial small subunit ribosomal RNA", at positions 509 to 808 of the family's 1533-position model. The record is from RNAcentral.